GAUAUGAUCUCCACCACCACAGAUAAUCUUCACUGCAUAAUUGGAAGUAGCAAAGCACAAUGGUUAUUUCAGCACAAGUGAUAAGGAGGAUAAUGAAUACCAAGAACAGGAAACCAAAGAUGUAGUAGAACUGGUUCAGCCAGAUUGAGGUGAGAAUGAAGAACAGCUCGAUGAAAACAGCUCCAAAUGGAAGAAUUCCUCCGAUCAGAAUAGAAAAAGUCGGGUUCAUAUACCAAGCUUGCUCUGGGAUCUGCCUUGGGAUUUUGUUCGUCUUCACAGGAUCCUCAAUUGCUGGCUUCUUGAACCCAACAUAACCACCCACAAAAACAAGUGGAACUGAAAUUCCGAACCACAUGAGGACCAGAGCAAACAUUGUCCCAAAAGGCACGGCCCCAGAAGACUUCUGGCCCCAUAUAAUUGCAUUUAAGACAAAGAAGAUGGCAAAGACAAUGCCUGGGAACAUGCACGCAGUCCUAAAAGCUAAUUUCUUCCAUUCUGCUCCUUUAAACAUUUUGUACAGACGGGCAGAAGCAUAGCCAGCAAAAAUGCCCAUGAAGACCCAAAGUAAAAGCAUAGCUGUCAUCAGACCACCUCGGUUUGAAGGGGAAAGAAAUCCAAAAACGGCAAAGAUCAUGGUAACAAGUACCAUGCCCAAAAAUUGAACACCGGUGCCAACAUAGACACAGAGUAGAUCAGAAUUAGAUGGAGGCCUGAAAACAUCCCCAUGGAGAAGCUUCCAUCCUGUCUCUUCUUGGGCUUCUUCCUGAGUCUCAAGUUCGUUAUACCUAGAAAUGUCACGGUAUAGUGUCCUUAGCAUGAUCAUUGCUACCAUUCCCGAAAGGAAGAGAACAAUCAUCAAAGAAUUGACAAUUGAGAACCAGUGUAUUUGGUCAUCAUUCAUUAAAAGAUAUGCAUCCCACCUAGAUGCCCACUUCACAUCACUCUCCUGAAAGUCGCACAGAAAAAUUUAAGAAUACUAGCACCUCAUAGAUUUAUAUGUCAGAAACUUAAUUCAAGAAAAUGUUAUACAAUAGAGAAUUUUUUCCAAGUAAUAAUAUCAACAGAAUCUACUUAAACACAAUACAAGCUUUAAGGGUUCAGCUCAAGGUUGCCAUUGGAAAAUUUUAACAUUGCAAUUGUCAACCCUACAAAUUAUUUGAAGUUGAAGAACUCACCUGGUAUUCAACAUCAUAGGUGAAUAUUAUCUCCUUUUUUGCUUCAACUUCUUGAGGAGUGUUAGAAUUAACAACUGUGCGUUUAUUAUGGGGGUCGCAUGUUGUUAAACGACUUUUUUCAUUCCAUUUCCCCUCAUAUUCAUGUUUAAUACUGCAUUGUUUUAGUAUAUAAAGAAAAUGUAUCAAACACAAUACAACAAUCUCGGUCACAGAAACCUAGAAUUAAAAUUAUUAGAAUAUGCUAGACUCAAAGGAGCUAACCUGUAUGGUUUAACCUCAAAACCCACAAUUCUAGCAGAGUCAGUUUGCGGAUCCCUAUGAUAUUUGACAGUAAAUGCUAAAUGGUUGUGAAUGAAAUAUUUUUCUUCCUUGCUCUGCACAUAACCAGAAAACAUAAGCAAACACAGAUAUAGUAGCUAAUUACAUCCACAAACAAAGGAAAUUUUAAUACUUGUAAUAGAUAUUAUGUUUACCCCACUAUAUUGCCCUUUGAGCCCAACAUGGUAGCCAAGCUGAUAAACAGUAGAAGAAUCCUGAUCUAAUCUUCUAAUGGGGACAACAAGGGGAAGGUUAUCCAGUAUCCUGUCAAUUGAACCACAAAUUAAUUAGACAGAGAUCCUAGGCAACAGCUAUAAAAAGAUUGAAAGAUGAAUUCCAUGUCCGAAUAAGCAAAUGGCAUACAUAUUGACUCGAUAUUCAUCAUCAAUCUUCUCCUUAAAUAGCUUUGCAGUUUUGGCAUCAAGUGUAAUGCGGCAAAGAACAGUACACAUAUGUGGCUCUCGCAUUUUAAACUACAUUAAUUGGAGUCAAUAAGAACAAGUUAAUGGCCAUAGAAUAAACAACCAACACUAAAUCAUCAGAAAUACUGAUAACUGACCACAUAAGGAGAGUUUUCAAUUCGGUCACCACGAAGCACUUCCCCAAGAUUCUCUGCACUGUCAACAAUCUUUUCAGGUGGACAAAAAGGAAGCGAAUAGUACGAGUAAGGAAGUUGAGUCUUUAUAGAUGUCAAUUUGUUCACUUUCACCUUCAAAGGAUCUCCCUGCAAACCCCCAACAAAAGAAUCAAAACUAAAGAGGACCAAAAUGAUUCUUUAAUGAACAGUCCCAACUAUCACAGCAUGUAGUGAGAACUUAGUUUUUAAUCAAAGUCAUUAUCGAUCAGGUACGCAAUGUAACUAAUCACCAUAAAGAUCAAGCACACUUUGGCGCUUCCACUAAUACAUUAUGUAAAUUGAAUCUCGUUCCUUAAGCAAUAAUUGCAGAACAUGAUUAACAUAAAGUACAAUCGCAAAUGCCAUGGAUAAAUGCAAGACCGGAAGAAAAUUUUAAAAACUAGCUAAAAGUGUGGACACUCAACGUUUUGAAAUAAAAGAAUCAAAACGGCAAACGAAAAUCAUAAAGUGAAAUGAAGUUAAUUGUUCUAAUUUCUUGUUUAAAAAAAAAACCCAGCUGAAUCUGAGACGGUUUUUCCACUUCCAACACGCAUGCAAAAAAAUUCAUUAAUUUUCCUUCUCGUAGAGAUCAUAUACGUAUCUUAUUAUUCUAUAAAAAACAAACAGAGUUGAAAGUGAAGAUACAAAAUAAAAACCAUAUCAAUAAAUAAAGAAGAGAAGAGAAAGGGAAAGACGACCUUCUGGAAGUCCUCGGGGGCAACACCGGGGAGGUAGAAGCAGUGAGCGGCAUGGAUCAGGAAAAGGAAGAGAAUCGGCCAUAUGAUGGUGGCAGUUAAUCGGUGCAUAGAUCUGGAUCCAGAUUCCAUUUUGACGGGGUUGGAGAAGGAAACUCUCUCUUUGAGAAGGAAGAGGAGAGGGGAAAUGAGAUCUGAUAAAAGAGAAGAGCUUAUAUGUUGUUGUUUUUUAAUCUUUUUUAAAAUCUGCCGUGGAAUUUGAUUUUUCUUAUCUACCGUGUGGUGACUGGCGGUGGCCAGUCAAUUCGUAUUCGAGUGUCGGUCAUGGUCAUGGUCUUGUGGAUUAUUAUUAUGUCUUUUGGGAUUGGACUGAUCUAUUUAGGCCCAUUCUUUUUUUUUUUUGUUUUUUCUCUGAGAUUUCAUUUCCGGGUUUGUAAGCCGGUUUGGAAAACAACUCCCUCUAACAUCUGAUCAUGGCCGGGUCGGAUCAGAUUCGAGUCGAGUAUAAGUAUGAUAUUAAGAUAUUUUAUAUUUGUUCAAACUUAGUCCGAUCUGAAAUAUGGGCCCAAAAAUUUGCCCAAAUCUAAACUCAUUUUAGACUUACCCGUAUUAUUUUUAAAAAAUUUUAAACAAAUAUUAUAUUAUAUUAUUUUAAUUUUUUAUUGAAUUUUUUUAUAUAUUCAUCUUAAUAUUAUUUUAAUAUUUACAUUAGAAUAGUAUUAUAUAUUUAGUAUGAGUUUAUUUUUUUAAUGUGUUCUAAAAUACAUAAUAUAUAAAAAUAACAAAAUAUAAAGUAUUAUAAACUUAAAAAUAGGUCGGGCCGGGCUCGGGCCUUGAAUAUUCAAGCCCAAGCUCUACUCAUAUUUUAAACGAGCCUAAUUUUUUACCCAAGCCCAUUUAUCGGGUCUAAUAUUUUUAUCUAAAUCUUCCCAAAUUUCAGGCGAAUCUUCAAAUCUAGACUGGUAACUCGACCCAUGAAUAGGUCUACUCUUAUUCUACUGAUUCUAUAAAGGUAAAAGUGACUAACAAAUCCCUCUAAGAAAUUAAUUAAAUACUAUGAUUGUUCUAAGAAAUUUUGUAACUGGGUAAUAUAAUAUGUAAUGGGUAAAUUACAUCCAAUGUCACUCUAAAAUAGGGUCUGUCUUAUUUUGAUAACUCUAAUUUUUUCUCAAUUUAGUCACUAUAAAUAAGAUAAUUUUGCAAAUUAGUCACUGCCAUCAAAAUUUUCAUUUUCCUUUAAUGGAUUGCCAACGUGACACAUUAGUUCAUUGAGUGACUAACAUGUGUCAUUUUUUGUUGACUUUUGACUAAAGUUUAAGGGAAAAAGUUUUGAACUAAUUAUAGAGAGGUUCCUAAACUUUAAUCAAAAGUCAACAAAAAAUAUGUGUCAAUCACUCAAUGUGCUAAUGUGUCACAUCAACAAUCUGUUAAAAGAAAAUGAAAAUUUUAAUAGAGUGACUAAUUCACACAAUUAUCUUAUUUAGAGUGACUAAAUUGACAAAAAAGAUUUUUGAAAUGAUCAAAAUAGAACAAAUCAUAUUUUAGAGUGACCAUGAAUAUAGUAAUUUACACUUAUGUAAUUCAUGUGUUACAUAAAACACUAAAAUAUAUGUUGGAACAUUUUCAAAUAUUUAUAAUGUUCCAAUAACUAUAAAUGAAUGGGUGUAAUUAAUCAAAAGAUUAUAUCGUUUGAUUUUUUAAAAAAGAAUUAUAACUAUUUAUAUAAUUUUAUUUGGAUAGUUAUAAUUAAAUGAAUAAUUAUGUGUUUAUUUUAAAGACAUUAUUAUUCAGAAAGACACAUAUUGAUGAAAGAUGUCUCUAUGAAGAGACAUGAAAAUUCCUAUAAAUAGGAAUGAGAUUUCAUUUGGAAAUCAUACCAUCAAAUUCUAAUAUUCUUUCUUUCAUUCCUUCGUUUUCUAAUAUUAUUAGACUAUUCUAUAAAGUAUUACUGCAGAAAUCCUUUAUAGAAAUUGAGUUUCUUGUCAUACAAUUGAUCAGUGUGUAGUGGGCUAUUCUCGUCAGUGCAAAACGUAAAUAGUCAUUGGCUUCAUUGUAUCCUCGAGGUUAAUUUGCUUGGAACUCAUUUGCACACCGAAGAUAGGUGAGGGCGAAUAUAACCUUAAAGAUAGUGGCUUAAUACACGACUUGGAGCCUUGUCCUAUUUCUUCUUCUGUUAGAGUUCCGUUCGUGUGUUCGAGAUUUUCUUCACUGAAGAUUUGUACUAACAAUUGUAGCAAUUCUUGCUACUGGAGCAUAGGUAUCAAAGUAAUCAAUACCUUGUUUUCGUGUAAAACCUUUGGCUACCAACCUUGCUUUAAACUUAUCAAUGGUUCCAUCGACCUUCAUUUUCUUUUUGAAGAUUGCUUAUGUUUUGGAUAUUCCAAGACCUGGCGAGACUGAAAAUGAAUUUGUUGCUGCAACCCAAGAAAGACAAAAAUGGGACAAUGCUGAUUACAUGUGCAUGGGCCACAUAUUGAAUGGUUUAUCUGAUGGUUUGUUCGACACCUACCAAAACGAAGUCACCGCUAAAGAAUUAUGGGAAAAACUGGAGACAAGAUUCAUGACCGAGGAUGUUACAAGUAAGAAAUUUCUUGUCAGUCGUUUCAAUAUUAUCAAAUGGUUGAUGGUCGUUCUGUUAUGGAACAAUUCCGUGAUAUUGAAAAGAUGUUGAAUCAAUUCAAGCAAUAUGAUAUGAAAAUGGAUGAAAUGAUUGUUGUAUCUUCCAUAAUAGACAAACUUCCUCUAUCUUGGAAAGACUUUAAAAGAAGUCUAAAACAUAAAAAAGAGGAAAUAUCUCUUGAAGCUUUGGCAAAUCAUCUUCGUAUUGAAGAAGAAUAUCGAAAGCAAGAUCAGAAUCUAAAUUCUGAAAAUGCCAAAAUGCAUGUUACGGAGGAAGUACAGACUACUAAACUAUUCAAGAGAAAGUUCAAACAAACUGAUAAAGCACCUAAGUUCAAAAAGAAACAAAAGGACUCAUGCUAUCAUUGUAGUAAGCCGGGACAUUUCAAGAAUGAAUGUCAAUUUUUAAAGAAAAAAUCAUCUUCUAAGGCUGAUAAUAACAAAAAGUUCGUUCCAAUGAUAUCUGAAAUUAAUAUGGCUCAAGAUGAUAAUACAUGAUGGAUUGAUACCGAAGCACCAAACAUGUAUGCAAAGACAAAAGCACGUUCACAAAGUUUACACAAUGUGAAAAUGACAAUGUCUUAUACAUGGGAAAUUCUUCCACCGCAGCAAUCAAAGGCAAAGGGUCUGUUGAACUACAAUUCACUUCUGGAAAGGUUUUAACCUUAAAUGAUGUAUAUUAUGUACCAGAAGUUAGAAAGAAUUUAAUGUCUGGAAGUCUGUUAAAUAAGUUUGGUUUCAAACUUGUUUUUGAGGCAGAUAAGUUUAUUUUGUCUAAGGGAGGAAUUUUUGUAGGGAAAGGGUAUAUGUAUGAGAGUAUGUUCAAGCUAAAUAUUAUUAAUAAGAAUAAAAAUACUGUUUCUGCUUAUAUGGUUGAGUCUUUUUUUUAUGGCAUUAUAAAUUAGGUCAUUUGAAUUAUAGAAAAUUGAAUGACAUGUAUAAGUUAGAUUUAAUUCCUGUUUUUAACAAUAAUAUUGGAAAAUACAAUACAUGUAUGUUGACUAAAAUUACAAGAAACCCUUUCCCUAAGGUUAAAAGAAAAACAAAAUUGCUUGAUUUGAUACAUAUUGAUUUAUGUGACAUGUAUAAUACUCCUACAUUAGGUGGAAAGAAAUAUUUUGUUACUUUUAUUGAUGAUUAUUCAAGAUAUUGUUAUGUAUAUUUAUUGCAUUCAAAAGAUGAAGUGCUUGAUAAAUUUAAAGUUUAUAAAUCUGAAGUUGAACUUCAGUGUGAAUCAUUUAUCAAGUGCUUAAGAUCGGAUAGAGGUGGAGAAUACUAUAAUCCAAGUUAUUUUGAAUCCACUGGGAUUAUCCAUCAAGUUUCAGCCCCCUACACACUACAACAAAAUGGUGUAGCUGAAAGGAAAAAUAGAAUCUUGACUGAAAUGGUAAAUUCAAUGUUAUUAUAUUCAGGUCUUAGACAAGGUUUUUGGGGAGAAGCUGUUCUAACAGUUUUUUCAUAUAUUGAAUAGAGUUCCUAAUAAGGAAACUAAAAUAACCCCCUUAUGAACAAUGGAAAAAAAAAGAAACCAAACCUUAAUUAUUUAAAUAUUUGGGGUUGUAGAGCUAUUGUCAAAGUUCCAACACCUAAACGUAAAAAGUUAGGUGAAAGAGGAAUUGAAUGCAUAUUUAUAGGAUAUGCACAAAAUAGCAAGGCAUAUAGGUUCAUGGUAAUUGAACCAAAUGGUUCAAUUUCAAUUAAUACUGUUAUUGAAUCAAGAGAUGUUAUUUUUGACGAAAAUAAAUUUAAUUCUAUAUCAAGACAAUUACAGCCACAAAAAUUGAUUCAUUCUUCAAAUGAGAAUGAGAUUCCAUUGGAACAAAUUGAUAAUAAUGAUGAAUCUUGUCAAGAUUUAAGAAGAAGUAAGAUGAUUAAAAAGGUCAAAGAUUUUGGACCAGAUUUCAUUAUAUUUCUUGUAGAAGGAAAAGGUGACAGUAUAUGCAAUAAGAUACCUUAUUGUUAUAAUACAGAAUCUGAUCCUAUUACAUUUGAAGAGGCAAUGAAAUCUCAAGACUCUGCUUUUUGGAAAGAAGCAAUAAAUGAUGAGAUAGAUUCAAUAAUGGGAAAUCAAACUUAGUUCUUAGUUGAUCUUCCAUCGGGUUCCAAACCAAUAGGUUGUAAAUGGAUCUUCAAAAAGAAAAUGAAAGUCGAUGGAACCAUUGAUAAGUUUAAAGAAAGGUUGGUAGCCAAAGGUUUUACACAAAAAUAAGGUAUUGAUUACUUUGAUAUCUGUGCUCCAGUAGCAAGAAUUGCUAAUUAGACUCUUAAUAUCACUUACUUCUAUAUAUAAUUUGGUUGUUCACCAAAUGGAUGUUAAAACUGCAUUUUUAAAUGGUGAAUUGGAAGAGGAAGUGUAUAUGGAACAACCGGAAGGAUUUGCUGUUCCAGGAUAAAAGCAUAAGGUUUGUAAGCUUGUUAAAUUUAUAUAUGGACUCAAACAAGCACCAAAACAGUGACACCAAAAGUUUGACAAUGUUGUUUUAGCUAAUGGCUAUAAAAUAAAUAAGUCCGAUAAGUGUAUAUAUAGCAAAUUUGAAAAUGGAAAAGGUGUCAUAAUUUGCUUAUAUGUAGAUGACAUGCUUAUUUUUGGCACAGAUUUGUAACAAAUAGAAAACACAAAGAAAUUCUUGUCAAACAACUUUGCUAUGAAGGAUAUGGGUGCAGCAGAUGUUAUUCUUAAUAUUAAAAUAACCCAAGAUGAAAGCACUAUAGUUUUAUCACAAUCACAUUACAUUGAAAGGGUGCUUAAAAAGUUUGAUCUUUUCAACUGUAUACCUGCAUCUACACCCAUGGAUCCUCAAAUAAAAUUAGUAUCUAAUACUGGUAGGAAAAUUGAUCAAUUGAAAUAUGCAAGUCUAAUUGGUUGUCUUAUGAACAUAAUGACUUGUACAAGACCAGGUAUUGCAUAUGCUGUUGGGAAAUUAAGUAAGUACACAAGUAAUCCAAGUAGCUUGCAUUGACAAGCUUUGAAUAGAGUACUUUGGUACUUAAAGAAAACUAUUGACUAUGGAUUGUGUUAUAAUGGAUAUCCUCCAGUUUUAGAAGGGUAUUCCGAUGCUAGUUGGAUUACAGGUUUGGAAGAUCAUGCAUCUACUAGUGGAUGGAUUUUCAUUCUUGGUGGAGGAGCCAUUUUUUGGGGUUCUAAGAAAUAAACAUGUAUUACUGAUCCCACCAUGACAGCAGAAUUUAUUGCAUUAGCCGUUGCAUCUAAAGAAGCAGAAUGGUUAAGAAAUUUGCUUUAUGAUAUACAUUUUAUGGCCGAAGCCAAUUUCACCUAUUUCUAUCCGUUGUGAUAGUGAAGCUACUCUAGCAAAGGCAUAUUGCCAAGUAUAUAAUGGAAAGUCUAGACACAUUGGAUUAAGACAUAGUUAUGUCCGACAAUUAAUUUCUGAUGGAGUGGUCACUAUUAAUUAUGUGAGGUUAAGUGAAAAUUUGGCGGAUCCUUUGACAAAAAGUCUUGCUAAAGAUAUAGUAAAAAGGACCUCAAAAGGGAUGGGACUCAAGCCCAUUAAUUAGAGUCACCCAUGAUGGAAACUCGACUCAAUGCUUGGUAUAACGUCAAGUCUUGAGUUCAAUGAGACAAAGUACAUCAUUAGUAUGUGACUGUUAGCACUGUAAAUAAAUCCAUCCUAAGAUUAAAGUGCUAGGUACCUGUAAUGAUAAGGGAAGGAUGAGUAAUGUACUCUUAAUAGACCCAUAACAUAAAAAUGUUAGAGUGUUAUAAUUACGGGAACACUCUUGAUAGGAUCUACGUAUGUGAGUGGAAGUAUGGCUGCUUCUAGGAGCUCAAGGGCUUGGUUCUAACAGUACUCAUAAAAAGAGGACACAGACAUAUGGCCAUAAUAGUGUCCCUAGAUACUGUAACACCCCAUACCCGUAUUCGUUGUAGGAAUAGGGUACGAGGCAUUAUCGGAGUUUAUGAAUUAAAUUUUUUUUACUCAAUAUAACCCCUUUAUAGUUAUCUAACCUUCCCUGCAAUUUAAAACUGAGACCAAUCCACAUCAACAAAUCCAAUUCAACACAAUUUCAAGAUAGAUUCAUGCAUAUUUAUAAAAUAACCUCAUCACAUACCAAAACCAAGAUUUGUUAGCCAUACCAAUGGCUGACCUUACAUUCAUUUAGCAUUAACAUUUACUUUAUUAGCUUAUACAUGCUAUUGAUUUCCAAAAUAAAGUUUCUUAGUAUACCAAAAUCUUGAGGUUGAUAGUGUGAUGUGUCUCCAACCGAAUCCGACCUCCGAGCUCUUAACACUACAAAACAGGGGAAAAUGAAAUAGGGUAAGCACUUUGUGCUUAGUAAGCUCAUGUAACAAGAAUUAUACUUACCUAAUAUUUUCAAUAUAAUGCAAUAAACAUUCAUAUAUCCAUUCAAUGCAUUAUUACCCUAACAUGCACAAACUCAACAUUCAAGUUAGUACAAUAAUUUCCAUGUAUCAGUAAUAUAUAUACCAUGAUUAAUGAUAUCAUCAAUACCAUGAUUUCCAUUCCCAUAUUAUUUUUCCAUAUUUAUCCCAUUGAAUUUCUUAGAAUUUUCGAUAGAUUUUCAGAGGUACACUUUUAGUGUACAAUUUUCGGGUCCGUCAAUUCAUAUACAUGUGCGCACAUUUCCAUUUCAGAAAGCACACUCCCACGAACCUCAUCCUUACAGCGGGGUUACCAGUCCAGGCUAAAUCCCCUGUAAUAUAAACUCAUAGAGUAUUGUUGGAGUCCAGGCUAAAUCCCCUACAACGACAAUUACUCUAAUGAGCUUAGAUCUGAAUUACCAGUCCAGGCUAAAUUCAGACCCUAAUUCGGAUUACCCGUCCGGGCUAAAUCCAUUUUUCACAUAUUCUUCGGGAGGGCUAUAUCAGAAUAGGAUCACUCGUCUGGGCUAGAUCCUUUUUACCGUCAAUUCCUUUUUAGAGAGCCAUCGAAAUUUCCUUUCAUUCAACCGUGAUUUCUUCCCCUUUUUAUCAAAUAUAUCAAUGUUUCAUCAAUUUUCAUAUAAUGAACAUUCAAAUCAUAUUCACAUCAAUAACAUACAUUUCAAGCAUUUAAGAAUAUAAUUCAAGUUACACGAACUUACCGAGAUACUUGUUCGUAUACAAAAAUCUACUAAUCCCGAACUUUUUCCUUUCAUCGAUCUAGCUUCGUUUUUGAAUCUUCUGGAUUUGGUGCAAAAAUUAUGAAAUACCAGCUUACAAAACCCUCCUAUGGCUUUUUUGGCUAAUGAGAAUGAAGAAAAAUGAAGAGAUUUCUAGAUAUUCCAAAUUAGUCCUACUUUAAUUUAGUAAAUUUUGUUAUUUUCUGAUUUUGCCCUUAUUUCAGUAAUUCUCUUGAUUUUUCUCAGCUUAUGCCGCCCAAAAUAUCUUUUUUGGAAUUAUUUGCUCUUUAGGUCCCUCCCCAUUUGACAAUUGAGCUAUUUAAUCCUUCUAGUAACUUUUACACCCAUUUCAAUUUAGUCAUUUUCAUUUAAUUACCUAUCCAAACGUUAAAAUUUUCUAACGAAAUUUUAAUACCACAUUACUAACAUUUUAUAAAUAUUAAUAAAAAUAUUUCCUACUCAGUUUUACGAGAUCAAGAUCUUAAUACCUUGUUUUUACCCAAUUUCUUCAAUAAUUCUUUUUUCUAACUUACCACUAAAUCGGUAAAAUUUUUUCUAUCGAUAUUUUAGUACGAUUUUCCUAUCAUAUAAAUAUUCAUGCAAAAAUAUUAAAAUAAACUUCUCUUUAAAUUGGAUUUGUGGUUACGAAGCCACUGUUUCGAUAACCUUGAAUUUAGGCCAUUAAAACUCUCCCCCCAUUUUAAGGAUUUUCGUCCUCGAAAAUCUUACCAGUAAAGAGGUUUGGGUAUUGUUUCCUCAUUGUCUCCUCCGGUUCCCAUGUCGCUUCCUCAAUCCCGUGCUUUUUCCACAAUACUUUCACCAAAUUUAUGUUUUUUUUUUAUUUUUAAGCUCAUUUGUUUCCCGUGCCAAUAUCUUGAUCGAUUCUUCACUGUAAGUCAUAUCUAGUUGAAUCUCCACUUCUGUCGGAGAAAUAACAUGUGAAGGAUCUGACCGAUAUCGUCAUAGCAUAGACGCAUGAAAAACGUUAUGGAUUCUAUCUAGUUCCGGUGGUAAUGUCAAUCGAUAAGCGACUGAUCCAAUUCUUUUUAUGAUCUCAUAUGGCCCAAUAAAUCUUAGACUUAAUUUACACUUUCGACCGAAUCGAAGAACUUUCUUUUAAGAAGACACUUUUUAGGAAUACCUUGUCACCGACCUGAAAUUCAAUCUCUUUUCGUUUAAGAUCGGCAUAUGAUUUUUGACGAUUAGAAGCUGCUUUUAAAUUAUCCCGAAUAACCUUUACUUUUUCUUUUGUUUCCCGGAUCAAAUCAACCCCAUGUAUUUUCUUUUCACUGAGCUCUGUCCAAUAUAAUGGUGUUCUAUAUUUUCUACCAUACAAAGCUUCAUACGGAGCCAUUUUAAUACUGGACUGAUAAAUGUUAUUGUAAGCAAAUUCAAUCAAAGGUAGAUAUCUCUCCCAAUUACCUUCAAACUCUAGUAUACAACAUCGGAGCAUAUCUUCCAAUACUUGAAUUACACGCUCAGAUUGGCCAUCUGUCUGAGGAUGAAAUGCAGUGCUGAAAUACAACUGAGUACCCAAGGCUUCUUGCAAUCCGUCCCAGAAACAAGUCGUAAAUCGGGGAUCUCUAUCCUAUAUAAUGGAAACAGGCACUCCAUGUAGCCUAACAAUCUCAGAUAUGUAUAGUUCAGCCAGUUUAUCUAAAGAAUAAUCUAUACGUACCGGAAUAAAGUGCGCUGACUUUGUCAAUCGGUCAAAAAUCACCCAAAUAGCAUCUUUUUCCCUCGGAGACAACAGUAACCCUGAUACAAAAUCCAUAGUUAUUCUUUCCCAUUUCCAUUCCAGUAUAAUAAUUGGCUGAAGUAACCCCGAAGGUACCUGAUGUUCAGCUUUAACUUGCUGACAUAUUAAACACCUUGAUACAAACUCAGAGAUAUUACGUUUUAUUCCGACCACCAGUACAUCUUUUUCAGAUCAUUAUACAUUUAUUACUCCCCGGAUGUAAAGACAUAGUACGGCUGUGAGCCUCGUGUAGAAUCUUCUGUUUGAGCUCUGAAUUCUGAGGUACACAUACCCUACAUCUGAAUAACAUACAACCAUCAAUCCCAAUUUGAAAUUCAGAAUCAGUACUUGACUCACACUGUGCCCGUUUAACCUGUAACUUCUCAUCAUUCUUCUGAGCUUUACAUAUUUGCUGUAGAAAUAUCGGUUUAACUCUCAAUUCAGCUAGGAUUGAACCAUCAUCAGUCAGUGACAACUAGGUAUUCAUAGCUCGUAAAGCAAACAGAGAUUUCUGGCUCAAAGCAUCAGCUACAGCAUUAGCCUUACCCGGAUGGUAAUCAAUAAUCAAAUCAUAGUCCUUUAUCAGUUCAAGCCACCUGCGCUGUCUCAAAUUCAAAUCUUUUUGGGUCAUUAGAUAUUUCAGGCUUUUAUUAUCAGUAUAAAUAUGACAUUUCUCACCGUACAAGUAAUGUCUCCAUAUCUUCAGCACAAAUACAAUAGUAGCUAAUUCAAGAUCAUGUACUGGGUAAUUUCUUUCAUUUGGUUUAAGUUGUCUUGAAGCAUAGGCUAUUACUUUACCUUCUUGCAUCAAGACACAACCUAAACCAUUUAAUAAGGCAUAACUGUAAAUAAUAAAUUCCUUACCCGGUUCAGGCUGCACUAAUACAGGUGCUUUCGUUAGUAAAUCUUUCAAUCGGUUAAAACUCUACUGACAUUUAUCAGUCCACCCGAACUUUACAUCUUUCUGCAAUAAUCGAGUCAUCGGAAAAGCUAUCAUAUAGAAUCCCUGUACAAAUCUCCGAUAAUAACCAGUUAAACCCAAGAAACUUCUAACUUCAGAUAUAUUCUUUGGUAGACUCCAAUUAACGAUAGUUGAGAUUUUACUUGGAUCUACCUUAAUGCCUUCGGCGGAUACAAUAUGUCCAAGAGAACCCACUUAACGAAGCCAAAAUUCACAUUUACUGAAUUUAGCAUAUAACUGCUUCCUUUGCAGAAUUUGCAACACAAUUCUCAAAUGUUUUACGUGUUCCUCUUCAUCAUCCCGAGAAUAAACCAAAAUAUCAUCAAUGAAUAAUACCACAAAUCUGUCUAAGUACGGUCUAAAUAUCUGGUUUAUCAAAUCCAUGAAUACUGCGGGUGAAUUAGUUAACCCAAACGACAUAACUAGAAACUCAUAAUGCCCGUACCUGGUUCUGAAGGCUUUUUUAGCACAUCUGACUCAUUUACCCAUAACUAAUAAUAACCUGAUCGAAUAUCAAUCUUUGAAAAUAUUGUAGCGCAUUUCAGCUGAUCAAAUAAAUAAUCAAUUCGGGGUAAUUGGUACUUAUUCUUUAUGGUUACUUUAUUAAGCUGCUGGUAGUCGAUACACAGUCUUAAAGACCCGUCAUUCUUUUUUACAAAUAGAAUCGGAGCACCCCAAGGUGAAUGACUCGAUCGGAUAAAACCCAUGUCAACAAGUUCUUGCAACUGUGUCUUUAACUCCUUUAAUUCUGUAAGAGCCAUCCAGUAUGGAGCUAUGGAAAUCGGAGUAGUUCCCGAAAUAAAAUCUAUAGAAAACUCAACUUCUCUUUCUGGUGGCAACCCUAGUAAUUCAUCUGGAAAGACAUUGAAAAAUUUACAUACCAGUGGCACUGCCUGUAUCUUUGACUCAGAUAUCUUGGUGUCGAGCACAUAAGCCUAGUAAGCAUCAUACCUUUUUUUGACAUACUUUUGUGCUGUCAUUACUGAAAUCACAUUAGAUAACCCCUCUGUCGGAUCAGAUUUAACCCGGAGCAACUCACCAUUCUGACAUUUUAGCACAAUAUAUUUCUGUCUAGAAUUUACUACUACAUCAUGUUGGGUUAACCAAUUCAUGCCCAAUAUCACAUCAAAUUCAUCAAAUGGCAGUAGCAUCAAAUCAACUAGGAAAUAAUAACCUCUUACCAUCAGUGGACAAUUUUUACAGAUUUUAUCCACCAAAACAGAUUGGCUCAGGGGGUUCGAGACUUUAACCACAAAUUCAAUAGGUUCAAUAGAUAAAUCUUUAACACAUGCAAGCUUUAUGCAUAUAUAUGAAUGCGUAGAACCGGAAUCAAUUAAUGCAGUAAUAUCAGUGUCAAGUAAAGAAAAUGUACCAGUAAUAACAUCGGGUGCUGAGGCAUCUUCUCUAGCACUAAUGGCAUAUGUCCUAGCAGGUGCUCGUGCCUCAGGUCUGCCUGCAGUAUCUUUUGUAGUUCCUCGACUACCACUGACAUUACCGGAUGGUCGAGGUGGUCUAACACUUGAAACUGAAUUACUCAGCUUCGAUAUCUGUUCAGCUUUUUUUUCACCCAUUUCUGGACAAUCUCUGGGGAAAUGGUCAAAAGAUCCACAUCGGUAACAAGCCCCACUUUUUAAUCGGCAUUCACCAAAAUAAGCUUUAUUACAGUACUGACAUCUCCGCUUAGGGGUCCCAACACUGCCAACACUGGUCACUGAUGGAGUGGAAGGUCUUGGAUUAGUGCGUUGAGAACCUCCCUCUCUGCCCGAAUACCCAGUGGCUGAGGUAGAACACUCUUGGUACUUCUUCAAUUUCUUUGAAACAGAAAACUGAGAUUUUUUUCAUGGGUCUUUUACUAAAAAUUCAAGCUUCCCUCUCAUCCUAUUUCUUCUCUUUGCUCAAUUCUUCUGCUUUAUAAGCUCUCUCUGACAAUGUAGUAAACUCUCAAAUUUCAAGAAUUCCGAUCAGUAGCUUAAUGUCUUCAUUCAACCCUUCUUUGAAUCGUUUGCACAUUUCAGCUUUUGACUGUACCCAUUCUGGAGCAUAUUUACUCAAUCGAACAAAUUUUGUUUCAUACUCAGAUACCGAUCUAUUGCUCUGUUUCAGUUCAAUAAAUUCUUUUCUUUUAUGAUCAAGGAACCUCUGGCUGAUAUAUUUCUUUUUAAAUUCGUUCUGAAAGAACUCUAAUGUAAUUUCUUCUUUUGGAACAACUGAAGCUUUAAUAUUCCACCAAUGAUAAGCUGUGUCUUUUAGCAGUGAGACGGUACAUUUCAAACAUUCUUCUGGUGUGCAAGAUAAUUCCUUCAAAACCAGAGUAAUAUUUUCUAACCAGAAUUCAGCCCGUUCGGAAUCAUCAUCAACUGCUGCUCGAAAUUCUUCUGCCCCAUAUUUUUGAAUUUUAUCUACUGGAGCUUUCUCUUUUCUGAUAGAUUCAGUACCUGUACCCUGUAGGAUCUCAGGAACCGGUGGAGGAGCAAGAGGGGAAGCUUGAACUUGCUGCACUACAGGUUUAGUUCUUAAGUAUUGACUAAACCAUUCAUUCAUCAUUUGAAAUAAGGCUAUUUUUGCCUCCUCCCCUCGACCCUCUGUCUCGGGCCUUCUACUGCUAGUUUCUUCUCUUUGUACUGAAGCCGGAGCCUGACUCCUAGCUUUCUCGGAUUGAGCUUGGUCGGAUGACAUUACUAUAAGAAAAACACAAUUUAAAUGGUCAGGAGAUAUCACACUAUCAAUAAUAAUUUAAAUGGCAUGUAUAGCUAAUCCCGCGUUUGCUACGUUGGUCCUAGAAUCGGCUAAACCGUGGCUCUGAUACCAACAAAUGUAACACCCCCUACCUGUAUUCGUUGCCGGAAUAGGGUACGAGGUAUUAUUAGAGUUUAUGAAUUAAUUUUUUUACUCAAUAUAACCCCUUUAUAGUUAUCUAACCUUCCCUGCAAUUUAAAACUGAGACCAAUCCACAUUAACAAAUCCAAUUCAACAUAACUUCAAGAUAGAUUCAUGCAUAUUUAUAAAAUAACCUCAUCACAUACCAAAACCAAGAUUUGUUAGCCAUACCAAUGGCUGACCUUACAUUCAUUUCGCAUUAACAUUUACUUUAUUAGCUUAUACAUGUCAUUGAUUUCCAAAAUAAAGUUUCUUAAUAUACCAAAAUCUUGAGGUUGAUAGUAUGAUGUGUCUCCAACCGAAUCCAACCUCCGAGCUCUUAACACUACAAAACAGGGGAAAAUAAAAUAGGGUAAGCACUUUGUGCUUAGUAAGCUCAUGUAACAAGAAUUAUACUUACCUAAUAUUUUCAAUAUAAUGCAAUAAACAAUCAUAUAUCCAUUCAAUGCAUUAUUACCCUAACAUGCACAAACUCAACAUUCAAGUUAGUACAAUAAUUUCCAUGUAUCAAUAAUAUAUAUACAAUGAUUGAUGAACUCAUCAAUACCAUGAUUUCCAUUCCCUUAUUAUUUUUCCAUAUUUAUCCCGUUGAAUUUCUUGGAAUUUUCGAUAGAUUUUCAGAGGUACACUUUUAGUGUACAAUUUCUGGGUCCGUCAAUUCAUAUACAUGUGCACACAUUUCCAUUUCAGAGAGCACACUCCUACGAACCUCAUCCUUACAGCGGGGUUACCAGUCCAAGCUAAGUCCCCUGUAAUAUAAACUCAUAGAGUAUUGUCGGAGUCUAGGCUAAAUCCCCUACAACGACAAUUACUCUAAUGAGCUUGGAUCUGAAUUAUAAGUCCAGGCUAAAUUCAGACCCUAAUUCGGAUUACCCGUCCGGGCUAAAUCCAUUUUCCACAUAUUCUUUGGGAGGGCUAUAUCAGAAUAGGAUCACCCGUCUGGGCUAGAUCCUUUUUACCGUCAAUUCCUUUUCAGAGAUCCAUCGAAGUUUCCUUUCAUUCAAUUGAGAUUUCUUCCCAUUUUUAUCAAAUUUAUCAAUGUUUCAUCAAUUUUCAUACAAUGAACAUUCAAAUCAUAUUCACAUCAAUAACUUACAUUUCAAGCAUUUAAAAAUAUAAUUCAAGUUACACGAGCUUAUCUCGAUACUUGUUCGUAUACAAAAAUCUACUAAUCCCGAACUUUUUCCUUUCCUCGAUCUAGCUUCGUAUUUGAAUCUUCUGGAUUUGGUGCAAAAAUUAUGAAAUAUCAGCUUAGAAAACCCUCCUAUGGUGUUUUUGGCUGAUGAGAAUGAAGAAAAAUGAAGAGAUUUCUAGAUAUUCCAAAUUAGUCCUACUUUAAUUUAGUAAAUUUUGUUAUUUUCCCAUUUUGCCCUUAUUUUAGUAAUUCUCCUGAUUUUUCUCAGCUUAUGCCGCCCAAAAUAUCUCCUUUGGGCUUAUUUUCUCUUUAGGUCCCUCUCCAUUUGACAAUUGAGCUAUUUAAUCAUUCUAGUAACUUUUACACCUAUUUCAAUUUAGUCCUUUUCAUUAAUUACCUAUCCAAACGUUAAAAUUUUCUAACGGAAUUUUAAUACCACAUUACUAACAUUUCAUAAAUAUUUAUAAAAAUAUUUCCUACUCAUUUUUACGAGAUCAAGGUCUUAAUACCUUGUUUUUACCCAAUUUCUUCAAUAAUUUCUUUUUCUAACUAACCACUAAAUCGGUAAAAUUUUUUCUAUCGAUAUUUUGAUACGAUUUUUAUAUCAUAUAAAUAUUCAUGCAACAAUAUUAAAAUAAAUUUCUCUUUAAAUCGGAUUUGUGGUUACGAAACCACUGUUUCAAUAACCUUGAAUUUAGGCCAUUACAACUAUGCAUUGACCAAUGUUGAAAUCAUUGUGUGAGAUGUGUUCAGUUAAUCAAAUGAAAUAGUUGGUUCAAAGCUUAGUCUACCAUGCAAUUUCGAUUAACUUUAACAUGUUUUCACUAGGUGAAAGUUCAAUCGUAAGAUACCUUUCAUUUAUGUAACUUGAUUUUCAAGAAUAUCAAAAUCUAAAAUAUUUUGAAAAUGGGGGGAGAUUGUUGGAACAUUUUCAAAUAUUUAUAGUGUUCCAAUAACUAUAAAUGAAUGGGUGUAAUUAAUCAAAAGAUUAUAUCGUUUAAUUUUUUGAAAAAGAAUUAUAACUAUUUGAAUAAUUUUUGCGCAAAUUAUUGAAUAUUCUUUAUUAGAGAAUUUUUUAGACCACCAUAUAAAUCAGAAAAAAUUAUGCGCAAACAUUUACACAAAAUAAUGCAUAUACAGUUAUAGCUUACAGUUAUUAAACUUGAAAUAAGCUUCAUAAUUGUCAAAAUCAGAUAAAUCGGUUUGUACGUCAGAAAUAUUAAAAAAAAAAUUGAUUAGUUUUUUAACGAGUACAACGAUUAAACAAACGAUUUAAGCUGAAUUCUAUAAAUCUUCAAUAUUUUUUUUAAAGUUCUUAAUAUUUUAUCUAGUAAAGAAAACUAAAUCGGAUCGAAAAAUAUUCUUGACCGAUUGAACUAGAGUUCGGACAUUAUCCAUUCCUUUCGUUAUAAAAGAAUUCCAGCCUUGGGCAUGUCAAGUUGUGUUCCACCAGGUCAAGACAAAUCAUCAACAUAAGUAUUUUGCGUUUUCUGUAAAUAAACGAAUAAAAAGGCUACGAUAUUAUUACAAAAUCAUCAAAUUCACCCAGUGUUUUUCAGACAUUUCCAAUAUAACAGGAGAAUGAUUGAUAAAAGAAUCACAAGAAACUCCUCUUAACAAAUAUCUGAAUAACAAGUAUUUUCUCAAUCAACUACAACAAUGACAACUCAGUUCAAAAAUGAGAAUUAAUGUAUACAUCUUAAAGCAUGACUAUAUCUUAACCUAAAAAGCAUAUCCCCUUUAACACACUAAUCGAUCUUGACAGAUGAGUAGAUAAGUCUCGUGAACCAAAAGCACGCAUAAAAUCCGAUGGUGCCCGUUAGCACAAAAAAUGCAUACGAAGCGAUUAGCAUGUACCCAAAGUAUAGGAGCCCCGAAACCAGCUUAGUGAUCUCAAGCUUUGUGAAGAAAUAAAAUGUAGCGUAGAGGAAGAGGUACAAAGCCGAGGAGCCGGAUGUGAGAUAUGAUCUCCACCACCACAAAUAAUCUUCACUGCAUAAUUGGAAGUAGCAAAGCACAAUGGUUAUUUCAGCACAAGUGAUAAGGAGGAUAAUGAAUACCAAGAACAGGAAACCAAAGAUGUAGUAGAACUGGUUCAGCCAGAUUGAGGUGAGAAUGAAGAACAGCUCGAUGAAAACAGCUCCAAAUGGAAGUAUUCCUCCGAUCAGAAUAGAGAAUGUCGGGGUCAUAUACCAAGCUUGCUCUGGGAUUUGCCUUGGGAUUUUGUUCGUCUUCACAGGAUCCUCAAUUGCUGG
Molecule: long non-coding RNA, 19471 nt
Filed under: Gossypium barbadense (sea-island cotton)
Lineage: Eukaryota; Viridiplantae; Streptophyta; Magnoliopsida; Malvales; Malvaceae
Description: long non-coding RNA (GBAR_LNC012982)
Source: RNAcentral